This is an RNA transcript of Juglans regia (Persian walnut), 1916 nucleotides long. It is a transcript of the gene named two-pore potassium channel 3-like, with no coding region annotated. NCBI's taxonomy places the organism in Eukaryota, Viridiplantae, Streptophyta, Magnoliopsida, Fagales, Juglandaceae. The record is from RefSeq and is a predicted model, not a curated record. The transcript is spliced from 3 exons.
UACUGCGUUUUUUUUUAUCUUCUCUUUUCUCAUUGAAGGAAACAAAAUUAAGAAACCCAUGCCUCGUAUCAUGUAGAUUCACCAUGGAUGAAUCUCUUCUCUCAAAGACAGGAGUAGAAGAAGACUCUAUUCGGCCAUCACCAAGGAGAGAAUUUCCUUCCAGCUACCUUGAUCUUGGCCUUGGUCCCUCCCGACGCCAAUCGGCGGCUCAUCUCAUCACCAGCGAUGCCAUUAUUCCCAUCAUCACAACCCCCAAGUCCGGUUCCUUUGUAAACCUCAUAGCCAACUUGAACUUGAACAAUAAGAGAAGACUAGAACGGCGCUCCCACUCCGCUCCGUCGGUGUUCACCGACAUCCGUGAAGAUUCCCAUGCUUCCUUCGAGCCCAAACCCACCAAAAGAUCAACCCCUUUCAUCGUCCGGCAAGCCUUUAUCGGCGUAGUUCUGUACGUCAUACUCGUAGUUACAAUAUUUAUGAUAAGUGGGAAUUUCAAGGGUCAUACCACAUUCAGGCCAGUGGAUGCAUUGUACUUCACCGUGGUCACACUCUGCACAAUUGGGUAUGGAGAUAUUGUUCCAGACUCCACAUUUACAAAGCUGUUUACUUGCGUUUUCAUUUUAGUUGGUUUUGGAUUCGUUGACAUUCUACUCAAUGGGUUGGUAACAUACAUUUGUGACAGACAAGAGGCAGUGUUAUUGAGCACAGUGGAUGAGAAUAAGUUCAACUCCAUGGUUAAAGCAUACAUGGUGGAUACAGAGAAAGGGAGAAUGAGAAUAAGGAUUAAAGUAGGUUUGGCUUUGGCGGUUGUGAUUGGGUGUAUUGCUAUAGGGACAAUUACGGUACACUUCAUCGAGGAUAUGAGUUGGGUUGACAGCUUUUAUCUCUCAGUCACGUCCGUGACAACAGUAGGUUAUGGGGAUUUCGCUUUUACUACGAUUACAGGGAGGUGUUUCGCAGUAAUUUGGCUGUUAGUUAGCACAUUAGCCGUUGCCAGGGCGUUUCUGUACCUGACUGAGCUUAGGAUUGACAAGAGGAAUCGCAGAAUUGCAAAAUGGGUACUGCAGAAGAAGAUUACAGUUGGGGAUUUGGUAGCUGCAGACCUCGAUAAUGACGGCUCUAUCAGUAAAGCUGAAUUCGUUAUUUACAAGCUUAAGGAGAUGGGAAAGAUAUCAGAGAAAGACAUCCUGCAGAUUGGCAAACAAUUUGAUUUGCUGGACAGUAGCAAUUGUGGCAAAAUUACUCUGGCUGAUCUCAUGGAAAGCGAGUGACUAAAGCAUGCAUGGAUUUCCAAAUGGAUAUAUAUAUAAAGGAUCACGGCAUUGGGAUUUUUUUUGUCAGCAAUACAUAGAGCACACUAGGACCUCUUAUUCUUGUACAUAAUCAUUCCUCAUCAAAUAUAUGCAGAAUGAGGCAGAUGAUGAUCCCAUCAUCCUGAAAUGAGGCAAUGAGAGAGAACAAUUUCCAGCAUAUUUACUGGAAUACACAUUAGCAUAGCAAAAGUUGCAGGUUUUUGGUAUAUCUGCCAGGAACCAAGUAAUCACCAAAAGGAACAAAAACUCAAAACAAAACAAAAGCCAUAGAUUUGCAUGCAAAUUUGUGGAAGUGAAGGAACCAAUGGACAGCUUUGAGGAAGAGUCUGGAACUGAAGUAUUGAAAGUACAAGGCAGAAGUGAAUACAUUCUGACCAUAGGGCUCGUGGGCUUCUUGUGUAUUUCCUUAUCUUGGUUGAUUAAGUGGACCGAAAUACGUUAAUGGGUUGUAGCCGAAAGUGUUAAGACUUCUUUAAAUUGUUGCUUUGUAAGGUUUCGUUAAUUGCUUGUUAUGGCCCAGGCCCGUGUUGGGGAGGGCAUUAUAGUUAGUAUUUGCCAGCUAUAUGUACUAAGCAGUACUGCUGUGUAAGAAUUAUCUAGAAAGUA